RNAcentral lists this transfer RNA (76 nucleotides) under Brevibacterium sp. HMSC22B09. RNAcentral's name for it is "tRNA-Arg". It matches the Rfam family "tRNA". From Rfam's summary of the family: Transfer RNA (tRNA) molecules are approximately 80 nucleotides in length. Their secondary structure includes four short double-helical elements and three loops (D, anti-codon, and T loops). Lineage: Bacteria; Bacillati; Actinomycetota; Actinomycetes; Micrococcales; Brevibacteriaceae. The record is from RNAcentral. RNAcentral also lists the same sequence under 3 other names.
GCCCGCGUAGCUCAGUGGAUAGAGCGUCUGCCUCCGGAGCAGAAGGUCGUAGGUUCGAAUCCUGUCGCGGGCACGA